This is a long non-coding RNA of Oncorhynchus kisutch (coho salmon), 1578 nucleotides long. The record is from Ensembl. NCBI's taxonomy places the organism in Eukaryota, Metazoa, Chordata, Actinopteri, Salmoniformes, Salmonidae.
AUGACUGAGUGGAGGACAACCAAAGCAAAUGAAAGGAGGAGGAGUGGGGGAGAUGGAGGACAGGAUAGAAAGAGUGAAAGGAGAGGGGACGAGAGAAAGCCAGAAGAGGAGUUAGAAAGAUCAGCCUUGUUCCCUGGCAGUGUCUCGGGGAGAGGAGAGAGAGAUCAGCCUUGUUCCCUGGCAGUGUCUCGGGAGAGGAGAGAGAGAGCAGCCUUGUUCCCUGGCAGUGUCUCGGGGAGAGGAGAGAGAGAAAGAUCAGCCUUGUUCCCUGGCAGUGUCUCAGGGAGAGGAGAGAGAAAAAGAUCAGCCUUGUUCCCUGGCAGUGUCUCGGGGAGAGGAGAGAGAAAAAGAUCAGCCUUGUUCCCUGGCUGUGUCUCGGGGAGAGGGGAGAGAAAAAGAUCAGCCUUGUUCCCUGGCAGUGUCUCGGGGAGAGGAGAGAGAAAAAGAUCAGCCUUGUUCCCUGGCAGUGUCUCGGGGAGAGGAGAGAGAGAAAGAUCAGCCUUGUUCCCUGGCAGUGUCUCAGGGAGAGGAGAGAGAAAAAGAUCAGCCUUGUUCCCUGGCAGUGUCUCAGGGAGAGGAGAAAGAUCAGCCUUGUUCCCUGGCAGUGUCUCAGGGAGAGGAGAGAGAAAAAGAUCAGCCUUGUUCCCUUGCAGUGUCUCGGGGAGAGGAGAGAGAAAAAGAUCAGCCUUGUUCCCUGGCUGUGUCUCGGGGAGAGGAGAGAGAAAAAGAUCAGCCUUGUUCCCUGGCAGUGUCUCGGGGAGAGGAGAGAGAAAAAGAUCAGCCUUGUUCCCUGGCAGUGUCUCGGGAGAGGAGAGAGAAAAAGAUCAGCCUUGUUCCCUGGCAGUGUCUCGGGGAGAGGAGAGAGAAAAAGAUCAGCCUUGUUCCCUGGCAGUGUCUCGGGGAGAGGAGAGAGAAAAAGAUCAGCCUUGUUCCCUGGCAGUGUCUCGGGAGAGGAGAGAGAAAAAGAUCAGCCUUGUUCCCUGGCUGUGUCUCGGGGAGAGGAGAGAGAAAAAGAUCAGCCUUGUUCCCUGGCAGUGUCUCGGGAGAGGAGAGAGAAAAAGAUCAGCCUUGUUCCCUGGCAGUGUCUCGGGAGAGGAGAGAGAAAAAGAUCAGCCUUGUUCCCUGCCAGUGUCUCGGGGAGAGAAAAAGAUCAGCCUUGUUCCCUGGCUGUGUCUCGUGGAGAGGAGAGAGAAAAAGAUCAGCCUUGUUCCCUGGCUGUGUCUCGGGGAGAGGAGAGAGAAAAAGUUCAGCCUUGUUCCCUGGCUGUGUCUCGGGGAGAGAGAGCUGCCAUGUUCCCUGGCUGUGUAUUGGGGAGAGGAGAGAGAGAGCAGCCUUGUUCCCUGGCAGUGUCUCAUGGAGAGGAGAGAGAGAGCAGCCUUGUUCCCUGGCAGUGUCUCGGGGAGAGAGAGCAGCCUUGUUCCCUGGCAGUGUCUCAUGGAGAGGAGAGAAAGAUCAGCCUUGUUCCCUGGCAGUGUAUCGGGGAGAGGAGAGAGAGAUCAGCCUUGUUCCCUGGCAGUGUAUCGGGGAGAGGAGAGAGAGAGCAGCCUUGUUCCCUGGCAGUGUCUCGUGGGGCCGUAG